GGUAGAGCACUGUUUCGGCUAGGGGGCCAUCCCGGCUUACCAACCCGAUGCAAACUGCGAAUACCGGAGAAUGUUAUCACGGGAGACACACGGCGGGUGCUAACGUCCGUCGUGAAGAGGGAAACAACCCAGACCGCCAGCUAAGGUCCCAAAGUCAUGGUUAAGUGGGAAACGAUGUGGGAAGGCCCAGACAGCCAGGAUGUUGGCUUAGAAGCAGCCAUCAUUUAAAGAAAGCGUAAUAGCUCACUGGUCGAGUCGGCCUGCGCGGAAGAUGUAACGGGGCUAAACCAUGCACCGAAGCUGCGGCAGCGACACUGUGUGUUGUUGGGUAGGGGAGCGUUCUGUAAGCCUGUGAAGGUGUGUCGUGAGGCAUGCUGGAGGUAUCAGAAGUGCGAAUGCUGACAUAAGUAACGAUAAAGCGGGUGAAAAGCCCGCUCGCCGGAAGACCAAGGGUUCCUGUCCAACGUUAAUCGGGGCAGGGUGAGUCGACCCCUAAGGCGAGGCCGAAAGGCGUAGUCGAUGGGAAACGGGUUAAUAUUCCCGUACUUGGUGUUACUGCGAAGGGGGGACGGAGAAGGCUAUGUUGGCCGGGCGACGGUUGUCCCGGUUUAAGCGUGUAGGUGUGUGUUCCAGGUAAAUCCGGUUCACUUUAACACUGAGGCGUGACGACGAGGCACUACGGUGCUGAAGCAACAAAUGCCCUGCUUCCAGGAAAAGCCUCUAAGCAUCAGGUAACAUCAAAUCGUACCCCAAACCGACACAGGUGGUCAGGUAGAGAAUACCAAGGCGCUUGAGAGAACUCGGGUGAAGGAACUAGGCAAAAUGGUGCCGUAACUUCGGGAGAAGGCACGCUGACACGUAGGUGAAGUGAUUUACUCAUGGAGCUGAAGUCAGUCGAAGAUACCAGCUGGCUGCAACUGUUUAUUAAAAACACAGCACUGUGCAAACACGAAAGUGGACGUAUACGGUGUGACGCCUGCCCGGUGCCGGAAGGUUAAUUGAUGGGGUCAGCGCAAGCGAAGCUCCUGAUCGAAGCCCCGGUAAACGGCGGCCGUAACUAUAACGGUCCUAAGGUAGCGAAAUUCCUUGUCGGGUAAGUUCCGACCUGCACGAAUGGCGUAAUGAUGGCCAGGCUGUCUCCACCCGAGACUCAGUGAAAUUGAACUCGCUGUGAAGAUGCAGUGUACCCGCGGCAAGACGGAAAGACCCCGUGAACCUUUACUAUAGCUUGACACUGAACAUUGAGCCUUGAUGUGUAGGAUAGGUGGGAGGCUUUGAAGUGUGGACGCCAGUCUGCAUGGAGCCGACCUUGAAAUACCACCCUUUAAUGUUUGAUGUUCUAACGUGGACCCGUUACCCGGGUUGCGGACAGUGUCUGGUGGGUAGUUUGACUGGGGCGGUCUCCUCCUAAAGAGUAACGGAGGAGCACGAAGGUUGGCUAAUCCUGGUCGGACAUCAGGAGGUUAGUGCAAUGGCAUAAGCCAGCUUGACUGCGAGCGUGACGGCGCGAGCAGGUGCGAAAGCAGGUCAUAGUGAUCCGGUGGUUCUGAAUGGAAGGGCCAUCGCUCAACGGAUAAAAGGUACUCCGGGGAUAACAGGCUGAUACCGCCCAAGAGUUCAUAUCGACGGCGGUGUUUGGCACCUCGAUGUCGGCUCAUCACAUCCUGGGGCUGAAGUAGGUCCCAAGGGUAUGGCUGUUCGCCAUUUAAAGUGGUACGCGAGCUGGGUUUAGAACGUCGUGAGACAGUUCGGUCCCUAUCUGCCGUGGGCGCUGGAGAACUGAGGGGGGCUGCUCCUAGUACGAGAGGACCGGAGUGGACGCAUCACUGGUGUUCGGGUUGUCAUGCCAAUGGCACUGCCCGGUAGCUAAAUGCGGAAGAGAUAAGUGCUGAAAGCAUCUAAGCACGAAACUUGCCCCGA
RNAcentral lists this ribosomal RNA (1920 nucleotides) under Salmonella enterica. RNAcentral's name for it is "partial 23S ribosomal RNA". It matches the Rfam family "Bacterial large subunit ribosomal RNA", at positions 901 to 2802 of the family's 2925-position model. The record is from RNAcentral. RNAcentral also lists the same sequence under 1 other name. Lineage: Bacteria; Pseudomonadati; Pseudomonadota; Gammaproteobacteria; Enterobacterales; Enterobacteriaceae.